Molecule: long non-coding RNA, 209 nt
Filed under: Elaeis guineensis (African oil palm)
Lineage: Eukaryota; Viridiplantae; Streptophyta; Magnoliopsida; Arecales; Arecaceae
Description: long non-coding RNA (EGUI_LNC052140)
Source: RNAcentral
UUUCGAUAAUAUUUUAUGACUUUCUGCAUUGUUUUAUAAUUUUCGAUAUAUCGUGCACUAUUUUAUGACUUCUGACACUGCUUCAUGGCUUUCUGUAUUAUUUUAUGAUCAUCAGGUUAUCUUAUGAAAUGAUCCUUGAAAUAAUGAAAACUUUUGAAUAUAUUAUAUAAUAUGUCAGCUUUUGAAAUAGCUAAAUACCAAGUGACAGC